Molecule: long non-coding RNA, 373 nt
Organism: Bubalus bubalis (water buffalo)
Lineage: Eukaryota; Metazoa; Chordata; Mammalia; Artiodactyla; Bovidae
Exons: 2
Source: RefSeq, a predicted model, not a curated record
GUGGCCACGAGGUUAUUUGCUCAAUUGCUCCCUCGCUUGCUCCUUCUGCCCUCCCCCCAACCCCACCCCAACUCGUCGGAGUGGGUUUCAACCGUCGCUGCAGGCUGCGCCCGGCCCCCUCUCGGCCGGCGCGCACCGGAAAAUAUACGGAGGCAGGAAAGAGAACUGGAUGACCAACCGCCUCUGUUGGCAGCAGCGCCCAGCCCGGAACCGAGCCACGAGACAACUUGCUCCAUCAGCCUGAGCCCAAUGAUUCGGAGGCUCAUCCACACAUUCUGCAAAGAAGCCACAGCAUUGGAAAACCCAAACUAGAUUCUUGUAUUUCCCAAGCCCUUCAGUUAACAUUGCUCAAUGUAGCUAAGUGGAGGGAAUG